RNAcentral lists this ribosomal RNA (253 nucleotides) under uncultured bacterium. RNAcentral describes it as "partial 16S ribosomal RNA". It matches the Rfam family "Bacterial small subunit ribosomal RNA", at positions 524 to 776 of the family's 1533-position model. The record is from RNAcentral.
GACGUAGGGGGCCAGCGUUGUUCGGAAUUACUGGGUGUAAAGGGUUCGUAGGCGGUGCGGCAAGUUGGGAGUGAAAUCUCUGGGCUUAACCCAGAGGCUGCUUCCAAAACUGCUGUGCUUGAGUGUGGGAGAGGCGCGUGGAAUUGCAGGUGUAGCGGUGAAAUGCGUAGAUAUCUGCAGGAACACCCGUGGCGAAAGCGGCGCGCUGGACCACUACUGACGCUGAGGAACGAAAUCUAGGGGAGCAAACGGG